RNAcentral lists this long non-coding RNA (1441 nucleotides) under Mytilus galloprovincialis (Mediterranean mussel). The record is from RNAcentral. Lineage: Eukaryota; Metazoa; Mollusca; Bivalvia; Mytilida; Mytilidae.
CCCCCCCCCCUUUUACCGUUUCCCUAUUUUUUACCAAUAAACUGUUGUUAUAAGCCUCGCUUUUUCGUAAUUUUGAUGGUAUAAUGCAAAUGUUGAAUUGAAUUGCCAUUUCCUUAUCUGUAAACUCUAAAAAGUCAAUGAACCGUGAAUGAAGUCACACUGUGAAAUAAUCUUCAUGGACAAGAGAAAUACAAAUGCAUACCGAAUAUCAUUGAUUGAUCGUUACUCUCCUUAGAUUGAAUCGAUCUCAAACUAAUGUAAACUAAGCAAAAGUUUCAAAGUCAAGUGUUUAUCAUUCUCCUUAUGUUUUUCCUUUUAAUUCUUUGCUUUAGUUUCAUAAAUGUACGCAGAAUUGGCAAGUACCUGUUUGCACAUUUUAAUUUUUAAUUUCACAAAACACUCCUAUAGCCUGUAAGGCCUGUACUUUUUGUUUUUGUUUUAUCCAAGGAAAAUUAUAGCAGUAUUUAUCAUAACUCAAUUUGCAAUUUUCAAUGAAGAUGUGGAUAUAAUUAAAAAUGCUUUGCUGUUCAUCGAUGGUUAAAUUCGCCCACGAAUUGUCCUUAGAACAAAAUUAAUGUUCCUAAACCUACUGCACAGUAUAAAAAAAUAAGGGCGAAACCUACCAAAAGGACAAUAUAGAAAAUGAACUUAUAUGGCAAGAAAACUUAAGAUUGAAAUCACGACCCCCAUGAAAAACCGGGGUGAUUUUAAGCAGAUCUUCAUCCACAUGUGACAGCCGUCUUGUUGCUCUUAAUUAAGUACAAAAACGGUGACAGGUAUCAUUCGGUUGGUCACACUCGUUGAAAAGGAGGACGAGCUUGUAGUUAAGACGGUCGUCAUCUAUGAAACAUAUAUGCCAUAACGGUCAACUCGUAUUGUUAAAAGUUAAAGUAGUAUAGCGUUAACUUUGUGACAUGUGUCAAAAUGCUUAAGGAGGACGAGCUUGUAGUUAAGACGGUCGUCAUCUAUGAAACAUAUAUGCCAUAACGGUCAACUCGUAUUGUUAAAAGUUAAAAUAGUAUAGCGUUAAUUUUGUGACAUGUGUCAAAAUGCUUAUUGAGAUUAUCCACGGUGUAAUGCAAAGACAUUUCACCUUUCAUAUGACCGAUGUUUCUUAUUAAAAGUAGACGAUAUACUUUGCUAUUAUUUCUAAAAAUGACCCGCGUUUAGGGAAACGUAGAAAAGACAACAUUUAAAGUCAAUAAAUUGAUUUGGACCAGAAUCAAACAGCGGCCUCAUGCACUCGUGGUGUUCAAUAGUUUAUAUUUUUUUGUCAAGCUAAGAAUGAUAUUUUCGCAUGUUUCGAACAGUAAACGUGUAAAUAUCGAUAUAUCGAUCGUUAAUUAUUGGAAAGCGGCCAUGUUGAACUGUCAAAUCAAGGUGCUGAUUUUUUUCAUGCUUAAGGUCGGUUUAAGUGUUAGAUUAAACAUAAGAGGAUGUG